GGCCCAGAUCGUUACCGUGAAAAAAUUAGAGUGUUCAAAGCGGGCAGAUAUUUUUCCUGCCACCGAAUACAUUAGCAUGGGAUAAUGGAAUAGGACCCUGACCUCCUAUUUUCAGUUGGUUUUGUUUACAGCGAGGUUAUAUCAGGGUAAUGAUUAAUAGGGAUAGUUGGGGGCAUUA
RNAcentral lists this ribosomal RNA (178 nucleotides) under Acanthamoeba sp. RNAcentral describes it as "partial 18S ribosomal RNA". It matches the Rfam family "Eukaryotic small subunit ribosomal RNA", at positions 752 to 893 of the family's 1831-position model. Lineage: Eukaryota; Discosea; Longamoebia; Acanthamoebidae. The record is from RNAcentral.